GAGUUUGAUCUUGGCUCAGGACGAACGCUGGCGGCGUGCUUAACACAUGCAAGUCGAACGGUAAGGCUCCAGCUUGCUGGGGUACACGAGUGGCGAACGGGUGAGUAACACGUGGGUGACCUGCCCUGCACUUCGGGAUAAGCCUGGGAAACUGGGUCUAAUACCGGAUAGGACCGCACCGUGAGGGUGUGGUGGAAAGUUUUUCGUGUGGAUGGCCGGCGGCCUAUCAGCUUGUUGGUGGGGUAAGUGGCCUACCAAGGCGGCGACGGGUAGCCGGCCUGAGAGGGUGGACGGCCACAUUGGGACUGAGACACGGCCCAGACUCCUACGGGAGGCAGCAGUGGGGAAUAUUGCACAAUGGGCGGAAGCCUGAUGCAGCGACGCCGCGUGGGGGAUGACGGCC
Molecule: ribosomal RNA, 403 nt
Filed under: uncultured microorganism
Description: bacterial SSU rRNA
Rfam family: Bacterial small subunit ribosomal RNA
Source: RNAcentral